UUAAUAAUAGUUUAUAUAAAACCUGAAUUUGCAAAAUUCAUGAAUACUAUAUGUAUUAUUGGU
This 63-nucleotide transfer RNA is filed under the name Camaena poyuensis. Its description in RNAcentral is "tRNA-Cys". The record is from RNAcentral. Lineage: Eukaryota; Metazoa; Mollusca; Gastropoda; Stylommatophora; Camaenidae.